AACGCCGCGUGGGGGAAGAAGCUCUACGGAGUGUAAACCCCUGUUAGGAGGGAAGAAUGCUGCAAUGGUGAAGAAUCAUUGCAGAGAGACGGUACCUCCAAAGAAAGCCCCGGCUAACUCCGUGCCAGCAACGGCGGUGACUGAGCGGGCUGGCAAGGCGCAUA
This 164-nucleotide ribosomal RNA is filed under the name uncultured bacterium. RNAcentral describes it as "partial 16S ribosomal RNA". It matches the Rfam family "Bacterial small subunit ribosomal RNA", at positions 393 to 539 of the family's 1533-position model. The record is from RNAcentral.